This 363-nucleotide ribosomal RNA is filed under the name uncultured bacterium. Its description in RNAcentral is "bacterial SSU rRNA". It matches the Rfam family "Bacterial small subunit ribosomal RNA", at positions 108 to 507 of the family's 1533-position model. The record is from RNAcentral.
GAGUAACGCGUAGGAACGUACCCCAAAGUGAGGGAUAAGCACCGGAAACGGUGUCUAAUACCGCAUGUGGUCUUCCGGAUUAAAGCUUCGGCGCUUUGGGAGCGGCCUGCGUAUGAUUAGUUUGUUGGUGAGGUAAUGGCUCACCAAGGCUUCGAUCAUUAGCUGGUCUGAGAGGAUGAUCAGCCAGACUGGGACUGAGAACGGCCCAGACUCCUACGGGAGGCAGCAGUAGGGAAUUUCCACAAUGGACGAAAGUCUGAUGGAGCAACGCCGCGUGCAGGAUGAAGGCUUUCGGGUCGUAAACUGCUUUUAUAUGUGACGAUUUUGACGGUAGCAUAUGAAUAAGGAUCGGCUAACUCCGUG